Malania oleifera is the source of this 746-nucleotide long non-coding RNA. RefSeq lists it as uncharacterized. The transcript is spliced from 2 exons. Lineage: Eukaryota; Viridiplantae; Streptophyta; Magnoliopsida; Santalales; Ximeniaceae. The record is from RefSeq and is a predicted model, not a curated record.
GACUACAAGCAUUUGAAGAGCCAAAAAUCCUUCAUGUUUUGAGCAAAACGUGGCAAAUCCAGAGUAUCUUUCUCAGAAUAGUAGUUCAUGUUCAAGCUAGGCUUUUGAUUCACAGUUUGCCAAUCAUCCUCCAAAUUUUGCCUUUGAGGGUUGAUGUUAGAAAGGUCCCCGAUUCUGUCAAACACUCUUUUAAUCUUGUUGGCACUCUUCCAUGAUUUAUUGGUCGGAUGAGUGCAUUACAAAUCCUUGAUUUUUUCUCUCCACCAAUGGUUUUGUAGAAGGCUAGCUUUUCUCAAGGAAAAAGCAUCAGAAACAGGAAAGCUAUGGUUUCCUUUAAAGUUAAAGCAGUUGUGUGAUUGGGCAUUCUUAACGCCAUAACUCUAUUGCAGAUUAGAUGGCCACAUGAGGCUCUGUCACAUGAUGCAUGCGCGGUGUGCCAUCAUAGUGGUGAGUUCCAUGCUUAUCUGUUCCUUCACUGCACUCCACAGAUUGGGGUUCAUGAAAUGACCUCUUUGGUUUCAUUGGUGAGUGUUGGGUGCAACCCAGUUCUUUGAAUCUUUUUUCGUCAUCACUCUUAAGAUUGUUGGGCAAGGAAACAAGGAGAUUAUGAUGGUGUGCAGUUUUUUCUAUUUUAUGGGUGGCUCAUCUUAGGAGAAAUGCUCACAUUUUCCAUGAUCACUCUUUGCCUACUAAUUUGAUAUGGGGCAGGAUCCCAUUUUUGCAUGGCUAUGGGUUUUUCUACUAAA